CGUAGGGUGCGAGCGUUAAUCGGAAUUGCUGGGCGUAAAGCGUGCGCAGGCGGUUUUGUAAGACAGAUGUGAAAUCCCCGGGCUCAACCUGGGACCUGCAUUUGUGACUGCAAGGCUAGAGUACGGUAGAGGGGGAUGGAAUUCCGCGUGUAGCAGUGAAAUGCGUAGAUAUGCGGAGGAACACCGAUGGCGAAGGCAAUCCCCUGGACCUGUACUGACGCUCAUGCACGAAAGCGUGGGGAGCAAACAGGAUUAGAUACCCUGGUAGUCCACGCCCUAAACGAUGUCAACUGGUUGUUGGGUCUUUACUGACUCAGUAACGAAGCUAACGCGUGAAGUUGACCGCCUGGGGAGUACGGCCGCAAGGUUG
Molecule: ribosomal RNA, 370 nt
Filed under: uncultured organism
Description: bacterial SSU rRNA
Rfam family: Bacterial small subunit ribosomal RNA
Source: RNAcentral